RNAcentral lists this ribosomal RNA (492 nucleotides) under uncultured bacterium. Its description in RNAcentral is "partial 16S ribosomal RNA". It matches the Rfam family "Bacterial small subunit ribosomal RNA", at positions 29 to 507 of the family's 1533-position model. The record is from RNAcentral.
AGUGAACGCUGGCGGUAGGCCUAACACAUGCAAGUCGGACGGCAGCACAGUAAGAGCUUGCUCUUACGGGUGGCGAGUGGCGGACGGGUGAGGAAUACAUCGGAAUCUACUUUUUCGUGGGGGAUAACGUAGGGAAACUUACGCUAAUACCGCAUACGACCUACGGGUGAAAGCAGGGGAUCUUCGGACCUUGCGCGAUUGAAUGAGCCGAUGUCGGAUUAGCUAGUUGGCGGGGUAAAGGCCCACCAAGGCGACGAUCCGUAACUGGUCUGAGAGGAUGAUCAGCCACACUGGAACUGAGACACGGUCCAGACUCCUACGGGAGGCAGCAGUGGGGAAUAUUGGACAAUGGGCGCAAGCCUGAUCCAGCCAUACCGCGUGGGUGAAGAAGGCCUUCGGGUUGUAAAGCCCUUUUGUUGGGAAAGAAAAGCAGCAGGUUAAUACCCCGCUGUUCUGACGGUACCCAAAGAAUAAGCACCGGCUAACUUCGUG